Molecule: ribosomal RNA, 522 nt
Filed under: uncultured bacterium
Lineage: Bacteria
Description: bacterial SSU rRNA
Rfam family: Bacterial small subunit ribosomal RNA
Source: RNAcentral
AAUAGAUACCCGGGUAGUCCACGCCGUAAACGAUGAGUGCUAAGUGUUAGAGGGUUUCCGCCCUUUAGCGCUGCAGCUAACGCAUUAAGCACUCCGCCUGGGGAGUACGGCCGCAAGGCUGAAACUCAAAGGAAUUGACGGGGGCCCGCACAAGCGGUGGAGCAUGUGGUUUAAUUCGAAGCAACGCGAAGAACCUUACCAGGUCUUGACAUCCUCUGCCAACCCUAGAGAUAGGGCGUUCCCCUUCGGGGGACAGAGUGACAGGUGGUGCAUGGUUGUCGUCAGCUCGUGUCGUGAGAUGUUGGGUUAAGUCCCGCAACGAGCGCAACCCUUGAUCUUAGUUGCCAGCAUUCAGUUGGGCACUCUAAGGUGACUGCCGGUGACAAACCGGAGGAAGGUGGGGAUGACGUCAAAUCAUCAUGCCCCUUAUGACCUGGGCUACACACGUGCUACAAUGGAUGGUACAAAGAGUAGCGAACCCGCGAGGGUAAGCCAAUCUCAUAAAGCCAUUCUCAGUUCGGA